UAUACUUAUUCUUGUUUAUUUUGUGUUAGAGAGCUUAAUUUGAAAAAUAAUUUAUUAUUUAAGUAAUUUUUAAUAAAAUAAUAAAAUGACUAUAGUUUAUUAGUACAGUGGUGGAAUGUAAGUUAAUGUGUAAUAAAGAAUGUUUGUAUUACUAUACCUUGUGUAUCAGGGAAGCUCUACAUAAAUUAACGAUUAUAAAUAUCUCGAAAUAAAAACAGCUAAAUUUAUAUUAUUGUGCUUGUAGAAUAAAGCUUUGAAAUAUAAAUUUAAAGGUGAAAUGUUAUUAGAGUUUUAUUAUAUCUGGUUUUUUUAAAAUAAAAUUUAAUUUUGAUUUUAAAUAUAAUAGAUUUAAAAUUUAACUGUAGGAGGGAGUAGCUUCUUAUAGAUCCUUUUUAAUAGUUAUAUAUAUAAAGUAUUUUGAAACUAGGCUUAAAGGUAGUCAUGUUAGAAAAGUGUUAUUACUUACUGAUAAUAAAUUUUUAUUUAAGAUAACUUUAAACAAGUAUAAAACCUUUUUAUAAAAUAAAAUCAUAAAAGUGAUAAUGAGUUUAUUAGUAUAACUAAUGUAAACUGAUUGUAAAAUAUAAUAACUAAGACAUUAAAAUAUUUAAUGUAAAUGUAAAGGAACUCGGCAAAUAAAUUUCUUGCCUGUUUAUCAAAAACAUGUCUAUUUGAAGAUAUAAAAAGUCUAAUCUGCCCACUGAAAUUAAUAUUAAAGGGCCGCAGUAUAUUGACUGUGCAAAGGUAGCAUAAUCGUUUGGUUUUUAA
RNAcentral lists this ribosomal RNA (768 nucleotides) under Ilyoplax orientalis. RNAcentral's name for it is "partial 16S ribosomal RNA". The record is from RNAcentral. Lineage: Eukaryota; Metazoa; Arthropoda; Malacostraca; Decapoda; Dotillidae.